RNAcentral lists this ribosomal RNA (254 nucleotides) under uncultured prokaryote. RNAcentral describes it as "partial 16S ribosomal RNA". It matches the Rfam family "Bacterial small subunit ribosomal RNA", at positions 524 to 776 of the family's 1533-position model. The record is from RNAcentral.
UACGUAGGGGGCGAGCGUUGUCCGAAGUUACUGGGCGUAAAGCGCGCGUAGGCGGCCACUUAAGUCCGGGGUGAAAGGUUCAGCGCUCAACGCGAACAGUGCCUUGGAUACUGGGUGGCUUGAGUCCGGGAGAGGGCAGUGGAAUUCCUGGUGUAGCGGUGAAAUGCGUAGAUAUCAGGAGGAACACCGGUGGCGAAAGCGACUUCCUGGUCCAAUACUGACGUUCAUGUGCGAAAGCGUGGGGAGCAAACAGG